CUCGUAGGUGGCUUUGUAAGUCAGGUGUGAAAGCCCACGGCUCAACCGUGGAAUUGCACUUGAUACUGCAAGGCUAGAGUACAGGAGAGGGAAGUGGAAUUUCUGGUGUAGGAGUGAAAUCCGUAGAGAUCAGAAGGAACACCCGUGGCGAAGGCGACUUCCUGGACUGUUACUGACACUGAGGAGCGAAAGCGUGGGGAGCAAACA
RNAcentral lists this ribosomal RNA (207 nucleotides) under uncultured bacterium. RNAcentral describes it as "partial 16S ribosomal RNA". It matches the Rfam family "Bacterial small subunit ribosomal RNA", at positions 568 to 774 of the family's 1533-position model. The record is from RNAcentral.